UGUGGUUUAAUUCGAUGCAAACGCGAAGAACCUUACCUGGUCUUGACAUCCCGGAGACCCUUAGGAAACUAGGGGGUGCUUCCAUCUGGAAGAAUCUGGAGACAGGUGCUGCAUGGCUGUCGUCAGCUCGCGUCGUGAGAUGUUGGGUUAAGUCCCGCAACGAGCGCAACCCUUGCCUUUAGUUGCCAGCAGUUCGGCUGGGCACUCUAAAGGGACUGCCGGUGUUAAACCGGAGGAAGGUGGGGAUGACGUCAAGUCCUCAUGGCCUUUAUGACCAGGGCUACACACGUACUACAAUGGCCGAUACAAAGGGCAGCGACACUGCGAGGUGAAGCCAAUCCCGUAAAAUCGGUCUCAGUCCGGAUUGGAGUCUGCAACUCGACUCCAUGAAGUUGGAAUCGCUAGUAAUCGUGGAUCAGCAUGCCACGGUGAAUACGUUCCCGGGCCUU
RNAcentral lists this ribosomal RNA (449 nucleotides) under uncultured Desulfobulbus sp. RNAcentral describes it as "bacterial SSU rRNA". It matches the Rfam family "Bacterial small subunit ribosomal RNA", at positions 940 to 1382 of the family's 1533-position model. The record is from RNAcentral. Lineage: Bacteria; Pseudomonadati; Thermodesulfobacteriota; Desulfobulbia; Desulfobulbales; Desulfobulbaceae.